GGCCUCAUGGCUCAGUUGGCUAGAGCGUUGUCUGCACUAAAGCCUUCCCCAUUGCUGGCGUGGGUUUGAAUCCCACCGAGUCCG
Molecule: transfer RNA, 84 nt
Filed under: Schistocephalus solidus
Lineage: Eukaryota; Metazoa; Platyhelminthes; Cestoda; Diphyllobothriidea; Diphyllobothriidae
Rfam family: tRNA
About the family: Transfer RNA (tRNA) molecules are approximately 80 nucleotides in length. Their secondary structure includes four short double-helical elements and three loops (D, anti-codon, and T loops).
Source: Rfam by way of RNAcentral